UGGGAUGGUGGUCAUAAUUGCAUUUCAUUCUUUCAUCCACAAUUUCAGCUAUAUUUCUUCACAGACCAAGCCAUCUUCCUGUGCCCUGAAUUGGUGGAGAGCAUGGCUGGGGAAAUAUUAUUGCUUUUUUUUAGUGCUGCAGUUUCUCAUAGAGUGGGCAAGAUCAGCCUCAGAAUGCCAUGUGAAAAACAAAACCAUUCCUUCACACUGACCAGUAGUCAGUAGUGUUCAGGACCAACACUACCCCAGUGUGAGAAAAGCCACCACGUUUGCUGUCCUGGAGCCACCACAGGGCUCAGAGCAGAGCUGUAGGAGUAGACUUCAUAAUGUGACCCCAGAGCAAUCCCAGGCAUUGACAAGAAGAUGCAUGCUUCAGGGAAACCAGAACUGCUUUGCAUCUUGGCUUACAGAUAAAGAAGAGCUCAGAUAACUUCUUCAGCAGGAGGAAUGCACGUGACCCUGACACAUGAUCUGGUCUCAUCAAGAUAUCCCGAGUGCUACACAGCUACAGUGUCAACACGUUGCCCAGGACAACAGUUUGUCUACAAAAUCCGUACAAAGAAGGGUUCAUCAGCAAUUUCUGGCAGGCUGGCAAGAGGUGGAGUUUAUGGAGGAGGAGAUCAGCUCAAAGCCACCCAGCUCCCACCCAGGGAGUUCAGCAGGAGCAAGUAAAUCAUUUCCCCAGGCAAUAAUUCCAUAGCCUGCAUGGGAAGCAGCUGACUGUGCCAGAGUCCUGAAGUGCCUGGACUGAGGAACAUGCUGACUCCUGCAGAGAAUGGUCAUCUGGAAAUAACCAUUGUCUUCAGGCUCAAGUUCUAUUCUAAUUUGAGGCACAACUUUUACUGGAGUUCGUGGAGGGCUGCGAAGAAAAAGAAGACAAGGUAGCUGAGAGGGACAACGUGGGAAUGUGCACAUGUGGUUUUCUGUUGAUGUGAUACCGAUAACGUAGAAGUCUUGGAUCUCAUCAGCAUGUUCGUAGGUGAGAGCUUUCCUGAUGCUUGAAGCUUCUGCUUUCCCUAUUAGUCAUACAGGCAUGAGCUGAAAGUCUCAGCAGGACCUGUACUGCUAAGAAAUGCGUCCUCAAGAUUUCUUGAUAGAAGAGUGCAGGAACAGAGUAGUCUAGUGGUCAGUGCCUGCUAGGAAGGAAGGGAAAGGGGAGUUUGCUGUCUGAAAUAAGGACUAAUCUUCACAGCUGGGAUUCAGCCUGAUUUAAUGAGGAGUGGAUCCAAGCUACCUCCUGUGUCACCGCACCCUCACUACAAAAUUCCUAGUUUUGAUUCUUGUGUAUAUUUCCUGCAUUAUAGAGCAUACAUUCUCUGAAGAAAGGCCACUGUAUAUUUUUUCACUGGAAUAGCUGGACUUUGUCACCUCUAACACAGCUGUCACGUAAGGGACUUGAGCUCCAGCGUGUUCUCCAUCUGGGUCGUGGUUGUGUUUCCUGUCCUGCCUACCUUGAGUAAGGCCAGGCAUCAGAAUGAUCUGGAGGAACUCUUGGAGCUGCCAUAUUACACUAGAAGACACAUUAUCUCACUCAUCUGAUUGCAUAAAUAGGGCUACUGUGGCAAUUCUGCUCAGUACAGGAAAGAUACAGAUGAUACACAGUAGAAAAAGCAGAAGUGCUGCAGGACUGCUCUGCUGCACUGUCACCUCACAGUGUGGUGGCAGCAGUGCUUCCCACAGCUAACCAUGGCUUGCUUGCACUUUCCUAAGGCUUCACUGCAAAAAAUGCUUCUGGGAAAUAACACUGACCCAGUAGCUCCUUCUUCAGGAAUUUCCUUUUCCUGAGGUCGCUGUUACCCACUUCGCAUCAACCAAAAAGGCCAGGGGGCAAGCAGGCAAGCAACUGAGGUUGCUGUUCCUCUGUCGUACCACACAAGACUUCAGAACUUGGGUAUUCCUGGCUGCAGGUUAGUGAGCUAGGUGUGAAUCUACAAGAAUGUGUCAGCUGGCUUUUCCUCACAAGGCAUGAUGCCUUCUCAUUUUAUUUCUCCAGCUCUGUAUCGAUGUGGUAUUUUCCAGCUCCAGGUGAUCUUUGUCUAAAUCACAUGAAAAGUCUUUCUUCAUUAACUCUGGAAAUUACACAAGCAGAACUUCUGAUGCUAUGUCAGUGUUCUCCAUGUAGCUCAUAAUUAAUGAAGCUUAGCUCCCUUGGUACACAGUCAUCCAGCAAAAAAUGAUGCAGACUGAGGCAGCCAGCUCUCCGAAGGAAGUUCACAUUUCUAUAUGAAGUGCUCUGUAAUCAGUGUGUUCACCACUUUCAUUUAAGUUUAUAGAAUUUGAGUUCCCACGAGGUCUGGGUAGGAAAAUGUUUGAAGGCACAAGUACCACAUUUCAUCUUACUACAUCUACAAUAAAAAGUAUCAUUUUCUAAGGCACAUGGAUCUGGUCUAAUCAGGUCACCACACUUAGUACUGAAUUAGCAAGGUAAGUUAAACUACUACAGUUUCUGUAGGUAUAUACAUGCUGCAACCUGAGAUAGAAGCAAAGAGUAAAACACACUGGCAAAAGGGCACGUAUGCUAUUUAAAUGUAUUAAAAACAGACAACAAAGCCUCUCCUGAAACAUGACAAGACUUAACUUACUGUGCUUUUAAAAAGAGUAAUUAGAAAAGAGAACAAAGCAGGCUGUUUUCAGAAGCAUCAGAGCUGCUAGCGAAAACCUUUCUCCUCCUAAAACAUAAGAGACAAUGAGGGGAGAAAGGCAGAGGAGGGAGGGGAAGAUGAACUAGACAGGAUGAUACAAGGUAUUCUAGUAAAGAACAUAACAUGUCAGCAGAUAUCUUGGGCUCACUUGUGGAAAGUGUGAUCGCAUUUUUGGCAAUGCAAGUUCCAGCUACCACAGGCUGCGGAUGCCUGGAAAAGGGAAGGCAGUGUUGAAAAGGUUUUGUUUGGGGCUCAUUUGCUGCACCAGGUAGGGACUGUGCUGGUUUGCUUCAAAAGAGGAUGGGGAAACCACCAUCCCCAAAGUAGUUUUCUGUUUUGUUUUUUUUUUUUUUUUAAAAAAAAGAGAAGUUCCUUACAUCCUCAUUGUCACUGUCCAGACUGCCCUUCUUCUUUUUCUUCUUCUUCUCAUCCUCUUUCUUUUUCUUAUCCUUUUCUGGAAUGACGUCAUCAAGAAAACUUAAGUCAUGCUGGGAGAAGAGGUAGUCCAUGGCUUUUCUGACUGCUACAAGUGCCAAGAUCUGAAAAGGCAGGGAGAGACUUUUCACUUGGACACAUUUUUGACUGGAAACAUUCUGUGCAUACCUGUUCAUGCUACUUUUUAAUUCCUAACACUUGAAUUUUGGUUGUAACAGAACAUAUAGAGAACAAGGUUAUUGAGAUAUUUCAGUUGUUCACCUUGAAAAUCUAAUGAAUGGAACUGGGUCAGGCCUCAAGCAGCAGUAUUUCAUAUCAGAUUAAACAGAAGCAACAUACAGGAACAGUAAUGUAAUCACUUACUGCUUUCGUAAAGGCAGAAGUCAGCUUUAAUCUCCUGCUGACAAGUAUCAGACAAAAUAAUUAACUAGAGAGGCCCAAAAUGAGUAUUUUCAUCCAUUUGAGGGAUUCAGCUUACAUAUGCAUGUUCACAAGGGCAUCCUGAGCAAUUUUCUUUACUUUUUUUUUUCCUCUCACCAUUUCUCCAGAUAGAACAAUUCUUUAAAAAUUAUACAGCGGUGUAGGUGUGCUUUCAAUUUUACAGUAUUAAAUUUGCUAGGAUUGUGUUUGCAAGAAACUGAAGGAAAAGCUUUUUUCUGGGUAAGACUGCACUCUAAAGCACUGGGAAAAAAAGUAAGGGACACGUCUGAAAUGGGUGUCUACAUCUAUGCUGAAAUUUAGCAUAACCAACAGAUGCAUACCAAGAUUACACGUACACUCUACUAAAGGGUGCAAUGCAGAACGAAAGCUCAACUUGGUUAUAAAAAGAUGUCAUCCAUUCCUAGCAACAGGAGACAGAUUUUAAGACAGAACAGUUUGCUCCAACUGAUGAAGAUCAAUGGCAGAAAUUAUCCCUCAGAAUGGAUCUCAAACUUUGACUAUAAUUUAAGUGGGGUUCAGAAGUGAAAAAUUACUCAGGGAGUGGAAAGAUGCCAUGGAAGCACCCAUCAUUAUUUCACUAUAAAUUCCCUCUUUAUUAAAAGUACUUUCUCCACAAAUAAGCAGGGGGCUGGCUGUUGGUUAGGUCUUCACAGUCAGGUUGUAAGCUAAUAGUCUUCCUGUUCUCAAGUGUAAUAACUGAGGUUUUAUCAUUAGAUCCAGUCACAUCUGUAAGUAUAACAAACUUCAGCAAACGUGAAGAUUCUCUUAUGGACAAAGAGGAAAUCUUCAGAUCUUAAAUUCAGCAUUCAACAAUACAAUACAGCCAUGAGAAUGCAAUGGAAAAUGAGCAUGCCACUGGAAACUGCUUUUAAUAUCUUUAUAUAUUUGUAUAUGUCCUAGCAAAAAUAUUUGUAUGUUUUACUUUUUUCACUUGAAUCAGCCUUUCUCAUUUCACUAGCAUCAGAGAAUAAAUGCCUUUGUUUUGUUU
Molecule: long non-coding RNA, 4506 nt
Organism: Lagopus leucura (white-tailed ptarmigan)
Lineage: Eukaryota; Metazoa; Chordata; Aves; Galliformes; Phasianidae
Exons: 8
Source: RefSeq, a predicted model, not a curated record